GUAUACAGAAUGGAUUCGUGGUGGGCCCUUCUCUGUGGGCCUAUCACAGGUACUCAUGCCAGAGUAAAUUGCAGCCUCGAGCUAUUUCCCAGCCUCCUUACGUGUGGCUGUGAGCACGGAAGGGGGCCCAUAACA
Molecule: small nucleolar RNA, 135 nt
Organism: Artibeus jamaicensis (Jamaican fruit-eating bat)
Lineage: Eukaryota; Metazoa; Chordata; Mammalia; Chiroptera; Phyllostomidae
Product: small nucleolar RNA SNORA42/SNORA80 family
Exons: 1
Source: RefSeq, a predicted model, not a curated record